AAUCUGGGGUCCGCGACCUCCGAGUUGUAAUUUGGAGAGGCAUCUUCGGGGGGGGAGCGCCGGCCCAAGUUCCUUGGAACAGGACGUCGCAGAGGGUGAGAAUCCCGUGCCAGGCCGGCUGCCUCCUCCCGGGUGAAGGGCCUUCGACGAGUCGAGUUGUUUGGGAAUGCAGCUCCAAGUGGGUGGUAAAUUUCAUCUAAAGCUAAAUACCGGCGGGAGACCGAUAGCGCACAAGUAGAGUGAUCGAAAGAUGAAAAGCACUUUGAAAAUAGAGUCAAAAAGUACGUGAAAUUGUUGAAAGGGAAGCGCUUGAGACCAGACUCAGGCCCCGGCAAACACCGCGCCCCCAGGGGCCGUGCAAUUGCCGGGGGCUGGGCCAGCAUCAGUCGGCGUGGCGGGACAAAGGCGCGGGGAAUGUGGCUCCCCUCGGGGAGUGUUAUCAGGCCCGCGCUCAAUGCCGCCGACGCCGACUGAGGACCGCGCCUCGGCUAGGAUGCUGGCUUAAUGGCCUUCAGCGACCCGUCUUGAAACACGGACCAAGGAGUCUAACAUCUAUGCGAGUGUUUGGGCGCCAAACCCUUGCGCGGAAUGAAAGUGAGCGGAGGUGGGAACCCCCCAGCGGGGCGCACCAUCGACCGAUCCUGAUGUCUUCGGAUGGAUUUGAGUA
This 667-nucleotide ribosomal RNA is filed under the name Helvella corbierei. RNAcentral's name for it is "eukaryotic LSU rRNA". It matches the Rfam family "Eukaryotic large subunit ribosomal RNA", at positions 119 to 796 of the family's 3401-position model. The record is from RNAcentral. Lineage: Eukaryota; Fungi; Ascomycota; Pezizomycetes; Pezizales; Helvellaceae.